Cervus elaphus (red deer) is the source of this 320-nucleotide long non-coding RNA. RefSeq lists it as uncharacterized. The record is from RefSeq and is a predicted model, not a curated record. The transcript has 4 exons. NCBI's taxonomy places the organism in Eukaryota, Metazoa, Chordata, Mammalia, Artiodactyla, Cervidae.
AGAAUGAGAGGAUCCCACCAAAAAAAAAUACCCCACAUCCAAGGGCAAAGGAGAAGCCCUAGCAAGAUGGUAGGAGGGGCAAAAUCGCAUUGAGAAUCAAACCCCAUAACUUCCAGAGAUGCUCAAAGGGCUCAAACAUACCUUGUGUGCACCAGGACCCAGAGACCCCACAGAGACUGAGAUAGAACUGUGUUGGACUGUCUCCAGAGGAGGUACAGGUCAGCAGUGGACUGCUGCAGGGGCAGGGGCUCUGGGUGCAGUAGACCUGGGUAUGGCAUAAGCCCUAUUGGAGGAGGUCGCCAUUAACCCCACCAUAGAGC